CAAUUUCACCUCAGGUGGGGAGGACACCUUCUCAAGGUGUCAACUACAAUGUUUCAGGACAUUCUGAUGUUGAAUUACAAAAUAAGAGCCCCCCAAACUCGAAUAUUAGAUGUUUUGUUUACACAUUCAGAAAAUCAUAAAAAUAAAAGUCCUAGCUUCCACAGACCAAUUUCACCUCAGAUGGAGA
Molecule: long non-coding RNA, 187 nt
Organism: Xyrauchen texanus (razorback sucker)
Lineage: Eukaryota; Metazoa; Chordata; Actinopteri; Cypriniformes; Catostomidae
Exons: 2
Source: RefSeq, a predicted model, not a curated record